RNAcentral lists this transfer RNA (84 nucleotides) under Anaerolineae bacterium. RNAcentral describes it as "tRNA-Leu". It matches the Rfam family "tRNA". Rfam says of the family: Transfer RNA (tRNA) molecules are approximately 80 nucleotides in length. Their secondary structure includes four short double-helical elements and three loops (D, anti-codon, and T loops). Further hydrogen bonds mediate the characteristic L-shaped molecular structure. tRNAs have two regions of fundamental functional importance: the anti-codon, which is responsible for specific mRNA codon recognition, and the 3' end, to which the tRNAs corresponding amino acid is attached (by aminoacyl-tRNA synthetases). tRNAs cope with the degeneracy of the genetic code in two manners: having more than one tRNA (with a specific anti-codon) for a particular amino acid; and 'wobble' base-pairing, i.e. permitting non-standard base-pairing at the 3rd anti-codon position. RNAcentral also lists the same sequence under 2 other names. Lineage: Bacteria; Bacillati; Chloroflexota; Anaerolineae. The record is from RNAcentral.
GCCGAUGUGGCGGAACUGGCAGACGCGCUGCGUUCAGGGCGCAGUGGGCAUUGGCCCGUGGGGGUUCGAAUCCCUCCAUCGGCA